UGGGGAAUAUUGGACAAUGGGCGCAAGCCUGAUCCAGCAAUGCCGCGUGGGUGAAGAAGGUCUUCGGAUUGUAAAGCCCUUUCGGCGGGGACGAUGAUGACGGUACCCGCAGAAGAAGCCCCGGCUAACUUCGUGCCAGCAGCCGCGGUAAUACGAAGGGGGCUAGCGUUGCUCGGAAUGACUGGGCGUAAAGGGCGCGUAGGCGGAUCGGAUAGUCAGGCGUGAAAUUCCUGGGCUCAACCUGGGGGCUGCGCUUGAUACGUUUGAUCUGGAGUGGGGAAGAGGGUCGUGGAAUUCCCAGUGUAGAGGUGAAAUUCGUAGAUAUUGGGAAGAACACCGGUGGCGAAGGCGGCGACCUGGUCCUUGACUGACGCUGAGGCGCGAAAGCGUGGGGAGCAAACAGGAUUAGAUACCCUGGUAGUCCACGCCGUAAACGAUGUGCGCUGGAUGUUGGGGGGCUUAGCCCUUCAGUGUCGUAGCUAACGCGAUAAGCGCACCGCCUGGGGAGUACGGCCGCAAGGUUG
RNAcentral lists this ribosomal RNA (524 nucleotides) under uncultured bacterium. RNAcentral describes it as "bacterial SSU rRNA". It matches the Rfam family "Bacterial small subunit ribosomal RNA", at positions 355 to 896 of the family's 1533-position model. The record is from RNAcentral.